CGACAGCGCCGGGCCCCUCUGGCGGUGCGGGCGGACACGCCCCGCCGCGAUGUCGGAGCUGUUCC
RNAcentral lists this non-coding RNA (65 nucleotides) under unclassified sequences. Its description in RNAcentral is "terC RNA". It matches the Rfam family "terC RNA". The record is from RNAcentral.